RNAcentral lists this transfer RNA (57 nucleotides) under Ovis aries (sheep). It matches the Rfam family "tRNA", at positions 8 to 63 of the family's 71-position model. Rfam says of the family: Transfer RNA (tRNA) molecules are approximately 80 nucleotides in length. Their secondary structure includes four short double-helical elements and three loops (D, anti-codon, and T loops). The record is from Rfam by way of RNAcentral. Lineage: Eukaryota; Metazoa; Chordata; Mammalia; Artiodactyla; Bovidae.
UGGCUCAGAGGUUAAAGCAUCUGCCUGGAAUGCAGGAGACCCGGGUUCGAUCCCUAG